CUUGAUGGAGCCCAGCCACAGGGGGCUGCCCUCGGGACGGUCCUGGCCGUACGUGGCCAGGAGGGCCUGGGCCUC
Molecule: antisense RNA, 75 nt
Filed under: Streptomyces lavendulae subsp. lavendulae
Lineage: Bacteria; Bacillati; Actinomycetota; Actinomycetes; Kitasatosporales; Streptomycetaceae
Description: ASpks TB sRNA
Rfam family: ASpks TB sRNA
Source: Rfam by way of RNAcentral